This 1396-nucleotide ribosomal RNA is filed under the name uncultured bacterium. Its description in RNAcentral is "16S ribosomal RNA". It matches the Rfam family "Bacterial small subunit ribosomal RNA". The record is from RNAcentral.
AGAGUUUGAUCCUGGCUCAGAUUGAACGCUAGCGGGAUGCUUUACACAUGCAAGUCGAACGGCAGCACGAGAGAGCUUGCUCUCUUGGUGGCGAGUGGCGGACGGGUGAGUAAUAUAUCGGAACGUGCCCAGUAGCGGGGGAUAACUACUCGAAAGAGUGGCUAAUACCGCAUACGCCCUACGGGGGAAAGGGGGGGAUCGCAGGACCUCUCACUAUUGGAGCGGCCGAUAUCGGAUUAGCUAGUUGGUGGGGUAAAGGCUCACCAAGGCAACGAUCCGUAGCUGGUUUGAGAGGACGACCAGCCACACUGGGACUGAGACACGGCCCAGACUCCUACGGGAGGCAGCAGUGGGGAAUUUUGGACAAUGGGGGAAACCCUGAUCCAGCCAUCCCGCGUGUAUGAUGAAGGCCUUCGGGUUGUAAAGUACUUUUGGCAGAGAAGAAAAGGCAUCCCCUAAUACGGGAUGCUGCUGACGGUAUCUGCAGAAUAAGCACCGGCUAACUACGUGCCAGCAGCCGCGGUAAUACGUAGGGUGCAAGCGUUAAUCGGAAUUACUGGGCGUAAAGCGUGUGUAGGCGGUUCGGAAAGAAAGAUGUGAAAUCCCAGGGCUCAACCUUGGAACUGCAUUUUUAACUGCCGAGCUAGAGUAUGUCAGAGGGGGGUAGAAUUCCACGUGUAGCAGCGAAAUGCGUAGAUAUGUGGAGGAAUACCGAUGGCGAAGGCAGCCCCCUGGGAUAAUACUGACGCUCAGACACGAAAGCGUGGGGAGCAAAAAGGAUUAGAUCCUUGGGUAGUCCUCGCCCUAAACGAGGUCAACUAGCUGUUGGGGCCGUUAGGCCUUAGUAGCGCAGCUAACGCGUGAAGUUGACCGCCUGGGGAGUACGGUCGCAAGAUUAAAACUCAAAGGAAUUGACGGGGACCCGCACAAGCGGUGGAUGAUGUGGAUUAAUUCGAUGCAACGCGAAAAACCUUACCUACCCUUGACAUGUCUGGAAUGCCGAAGAGAUUUGGCAGUGCUCGCAAGAGAACCGGAACACAGGUGCUGCAUGGCUGUCGUCAGCUCGUGUCGUGAGAUGUUGGGUUAAGUCCCGCAACGAGCGCAACCCUUGUCAUUAGUUGCUACGCAAGAGCACUCUAAUGAGACUGCCGGUGACAAACCGGAGGAAGGUGGGGAUGACGUCAAGUCCUCAUGGCCCUUAUGGGUAGGGCUUCACACGUCAUACAAUGGUCGGGACAGAGGGUCGCCAACCCGCGAGGGGGAGCCAAUCUCAGAAACCCGAUCGUAGUCCGGAUCGCAGUCUGCAACUCGACUGCGUGAAGUCGGAAUCGCUAGUAAUCGCGGAUCAGAAUGUCGCGGUGAAUACGUUCCCGGGUCUUGCACACACCGCCCGUCA